GACGAACGCUGGCGGCGUGCUUAACACAUGCAAGUCGAACGGAAAGGCCUCUUUCGGGGGGUACUCGAGUGGCGAACGGGUGAGUAACACGUGAGUAACCUGCCCUUGACUUUGGGAUAACUUCAGGAAACUGGGGCUAAUACCGGAUAGGAGCUCCUGCUGCAUGGUGGGGGUUGGAAAGUUUCGGCGGUUGGGGAUGGACUCGCGGCUUAUCCGCUUGUUGGUGGGGUAGUGGCUUACCAAGGCUUUGACGGGUAGCCGGCCUGAGAGGGUGACCGGCCACAUUGGGACUGAGAUACGGCCCAGACUCCUACGGGAGGCAGCAGUGGGGAAGAUUGCACAAUGGGUGGAAGCCUGAUGCAGCAACGCCGUGUGCGGGAUGACGGCCUUCGGGUUGUAAACCGCUUUCGCUCAUGACGAAGCGUUGUGUGACGGUAGUGGGUAAAGAAGCACCGGCUAACUACGUG
This 467-nucleotide ribosomal RNA is filed under the name uncultured bacterium. RNAcentral describes it as "partial 16S ribosomal RNA". It matches the Rfam family "Bacterial small subunit ribosomal RNA", at positions 28 to 507 of the family's 1533-position model. The record is from RNAcentral.